GCGGAUGGCUGGGCGGUCGCGGGGGCAACCUCGAGGAAAGUCCGGACUCCACAAGGCAACGGUGCCAGGUAACGCCUGGGCGGGGCAACCCGACGGACAGCGCCACAGAGAACAGACCGCCCCGGGCGCGCUCGGGGUCAGGGUGAAACGGUGGGGUAAGAGCCCACCGCGGCGGCGGCAACGUCGCUGGCAUGGCAAGCCCCACCGGGAGCAAUGCCGAAUAGGGACCCCGCAUGGGCGGCUUUGGCCUGGGGUCCGGGUAGGCAGCUAGAGGGCGCCGGGCGACCGGCGCUUUAGAUGAAUGGCCGUCGGCAAGUGGCGACACUUGCGGGACAGAAUCCGGCUUAUAGGCUGUCCGCGCUU
Molecule: RNase P RNA, 363 nt
Filed under: Candidatus Rhodobacter oscarellae
Lineage: Bacteria; Pseudomonadati; Pseudomonadota; Alphaproteobacteria; Rhodobacterales
Description: Candidatus Rhodobacter lobularis Bacterial RNase P class A
Rfam family: Bacterial RNase P class A
About the family: Ribonuclease P (RNase P) is a ubiquitous endoribonuclease, found in archaea, bacteria and eukarya as well as chloroplasts and mitochondria.
Source: Rfam by way of RNAcentral